Molecule: ribosomal RNA, 468 nt
Filed under: uncultured bacterium
Lineage: Bacteria
Description: partial 16S ribosomal RNA
Rfam family: Bacterial small subunit ribosomal RNA
Source: RNAcentral
GACGAACGCUGGCGGCGUGCUUAACACAUGCAAGUCGAACGGAAAGGCCCUGAUUUUGUGGGGUGAUCGAGUGGCGAACGGGUGCGUAACACGUGAGUAACCUGCCCUUGACUUUGGGAUAACUUCAGGUAACUGGGGCUAAUCCAGGAUAGGAGCUCCCGCUGGAUGGAAGGGGUUGGAAAGUUUCGGCGGGUGGGGAUGGAUUGGCGGCUUAUCAGCUUGUUGGUGGGGUAGUGGCAUACCAAGGCUUUGACGGGUAGGCGGCCUGGGAGGGUGACCGGCCACAUUGGGACUGAGGGACGGCCCAGACGCCUACGUGAGGCAGCAGGCGGAAGUAUUGCACAAUGGGCGGAAGCCGGAUGCAGCGACGUCGCGUGCGUGAUGACGGCCUUCGGGGUAUAAAACGCUGUCGCCUGUGACGAAGCUGGAGUGACGGUAAUGGGUGAAGAAGCACCGGCUAACUACGUG